GCGAACCUAUCCACAUUUCCUCUGGAAAAGACAAUAUCUUGAUUAUGUUGGAAUGUCUCCAGAAAGAAGAUGGAAACAUCUCAUCUUCGCUGUCCUGGCUUCCAGAGGUGUUCAUGCAGAAGACUGGACACAGGACCCUUGGUGGCACCAGUGUGUGGAUGAGCAGAUAGUGACUGAUCGCCACUGGGAUAGAAUAUGAACUCCUUCUUUAGAGAGUUGACCAUUUUUUAAUUAUUUUGCAUGGUGCUGAACCUGCUGAGAGCUCAUGAUAAACAGGUCUUCUGUGAGUACACUGACAAUUUCAAACACUACACUAGGAACUGAAUUUGGAUAAAUCAUAACCUGCCCCAGGGGCUCACUUCUAGGGGAGGCGACAGACAGGUAAUUGCACAAUUAUAAUAUUAUGUAACAAUUAUAAUUAUAACAUACUAUAUAAUGUUCUAGGCCC
Molecule: long non-coding RNA, 448 nt
Organism: Cercocebus atys (sooty mangabey)
Lineage: Eukaryota; Metazoa; Chordata; Mammalia; Primates; Cercopithecidae
Exons: 4
Source: RefSeq, a predicted model, not a curated record